This 743-nucleotide ribosomal RNA is filed under the name uncultured bacterium. Its description in RNAcentral is "bacterial SSU rRNA". It matches the Rfam family "Bacterial small subunit ribosomal RNA", at positions 94 to 823 of the family's 1533-position model. The record is from RNAcentral.
AGUGGCGGACGGGUGAGUAACACGUAGGUAACCUGCCCCGGAGCGGGGGACAACAAUUGGAAACAGAUGCUAAUACCGCAUAACAACGAAAGCCACAUGGCUUUUGUUUGAAAGAUGGCUUUGGCUAUCACUCUGGGAUGGACCUGCGGUGCAUUAGCUAGUUGGUAAGGUAACGGUUUACCAAGGCGAUGAUGCACAGCCGAGUUGAGAGACUGAUCGGCCACAAUGGAACUGAGACACGGUCCAUACUCCUACGGGAGGCAGCAGUAGGGAAUCUUCCACAAUGGGCGCAAGCCUGAUGGAGCAACACCGCGUGAGUGAAGAAGGGUUUCGGCUCGUAAAGCUCUGUUGUUGGAGAAGAACGUGCGUGAGAGUAACUGUUCACGCAGUGACGGUAUUCAACCAGAAAGUCACGGCUAACUACGUGCCAGCAGCCGCGGUAAUACGUAGGUGGCAAGCGUUAUCCGGAUUUAUUGGGCGUAAAGCGAGCGCAGGCGGUUGCUUAGGUCUGAUGUGAAAGCCUUCGGCUUAACCGAAGAAGUGCAUCGGAAACCGGGCAACUUGAGUGCAGAAGAGGACAGUGGAACUCCAUGUGUAGCGGUGGAAUGCGUAGAUAUAUGGAGGAACACCAGUGGCGAAGGCGGCUGUCUGGUCUGCAACUGACGCUGAGGCUCGAAAGCAUAGGUAGCGAACAGGAUUAGAUACCCUGGUAGUCCAUGCCGUAAACGAUGAGUGCUAGGUGU